This is a long non-coding RNA of Sinocyclocheilus grahami, 167 nucleotides long. RefSeq lists it as uncharacterized. The record is from RefSeq and is a predicted model, not a curated record. The transcript is spliced from 3 exons. Lineage: Eukaryota; Metazoa; Chordata; Actinopteri; Cypriniformes; Cyprinidae.
UUUAAAGGUGAUAUCCAGGUAUCCAUACAAAGCUCCAUACUAAAAAAGAAAGGAACAUAUGAUCAGGAUUACGGAUGACACUGUUCACAUUUUGUUUGUCGGACUAUAUAUGUCUUAAGGACAAUUAACCAUCUCCAUAUCCAUACGAUGAACCGUCAACAUGAAAA